UACGUAGGGGGCGAGCGUUGUCCGGAUUUAUUGGGCGUAAAGAGCGUGUAGGCGGUUCGGUAAGUCUGUCGUGAAAUCCUGAGGCUCAACCUCGGGCGUGCGAUGGAUACUGCCGGGCUAGAGGGUGGUAGAGGCGAGUGGAAUUCCCGGUGUAGCGGUGAAAUGCGCAGAUAUCAGGAGGAACACCGGUGGCGAAGGCGGUUCUCUGGGCAUUACCUGACGCUGAGGAGCGAAAGUGUGGGGAGCGAACAGG
This 253-nucleotide ribosomal RNA is filed under the name uncultured bacterium. RNAcentral describes it as "partial 16S ribosomal RNA". It matches the Rfam family "Bacterial small subunit ribosomal RNA", at positions 524 to 776 of the family's 1533-position model. The record is from RNAcentral.